RNAcentral lists this transfer RNA (101 nucleotides) under Ustulina deusta. RNAcentral describes it as "Kretzschmaria deusta tRNA-Met". It matches the Rfam family "tRNA". From Rfam's summary of the family: Transfer RNA (tRNA) molecules are approximately 80 nucleotides in length. Their secondary structure includes four short double-helical elements and three loops (D, anti-codon, and T loops). Lineage: Eukaryota; Fungi; Ascomycota; Sordariomycetes; Xylariales; Xylariaceae. The record is from RNAcentral.
GUCUUCGUGGCUCAGUUGGCUAGAGCGUUGGUCUCAUAUUCUAUGAUCCGAUCCAAGAUCGGGCUAUCCAAAGGUCGUGAGUUCGAGCCUCACCGAGGACA